GGUGCAUCUCUAUAGUUCCAACUGGCCUGGCCCCAUAACAACAGUGCAUAGUUGUUCCCUGGAGGCCUCAGUGUUUCUUUGUUAAAACCAGGACACUGAAGGCAACGAGUUGUUUUCCAGCUAUAACUUUUCAGAACUCUAUGUUUCUGAAUCUAUUGGUGUCCACACUGAUCUAGGACUUUACUAAUGGUUCAAUGCUUCUGCCUUCCAGGAAAAGUACCAAAAAAAGAUUGGAAUCUCAGGGUUAGGGGCUUUGCUGACCAGGCUUUCUUCUGUGGGUGACAGUUGAGCUCAAAUGAUUCACUUUAAGUAGUUAUUCAAAGGGCACAGGAAGCAGAUGGUUGGCUAGGAGUUUUAAGUCAGUGGCUUGGGAAAGAACUCUGGGGAAAAUUGAGGUAAAACUUGGGGAUAUUUCUGACUGAUUUAGAUGUGGCAUGCUUUGGUGCAAAUUCAAUUGAGGGGAGCUGGAGAUUUAGAUCAGUGGCACUGUGUCUCCAUUACAAGUGCAAGGUCCUGAGUUCGAUCCCUGCUACUGGAAAAAAAAAUUCAAUCGAGGAGAGGGUGUGGUAGUACACGACUGUCUGAAUGAUAACCCAGGUAUAUCUGAGGUUAGAAUACCAUUGGGUUUGCUAUCUUGUUUUAUUCUUUUUCAAUUUCUUUCCCUUUGUCUCUUCCUCCCCAUUUUCUCUCCUUAGACCAGCGGAUGGUAGUUUUAGCACCUAGCUCUAACUCCCUUGUGGUUCAGGGGUGUGUUCUCUGAUUUUAGUAUAGGCCUGCUGUCAUCACUGCUGAAUAUUGUACCCACAGCCUCUUCUGCCAGCAGCCAAGAUUGCUGCUGUCUUGUCUUCCUCUGAACUCACUGUAUUAUUGUAAGGUUUCAUAGCAGCAAGGAGAUGCUUGCAGUUGUCCGUUAUAUUUCCAUGGUUCUCCGGAACAGACACACUUCUGAGUGUGUCCAGUUGUUCUUACCGGAGAGGGUGCAGCUCUCGUGUGAGUACAGCAUUCAGACACAAUGCUCUGGUAUGGAGAGAGCUGGACCAUGGAGACAGGGCUGAAGACAGUCCUGCUUGGAUCCAAGGCUUUGAAAUCCCAGCUAGGGAGCCUGGCUUCCUACCCUUGGCCCUUGUGUUCCUGUGCUACUUCACUAUCAUAUCAAAGUUCUCCUUUUUUUUUGCUUACACUACCUCUAGCUGGCUUCUGAAACUGAUACCUACACAAGCUGUAAGGAGUGCCACGUCCACAAUAAAUGCAAACCUAUAUUUUAACAUUUAG
Molecule: long non-coding RNA, 1272 nt
Filed under: Fukomys damarensis (Damara mole-rat)
Lineage: Eukaryota; Metazoa; Chordata; Mammalia; Rodentia; Bathyergidae
Description: lncRNA (ENSFDAG00000029177.1)
Source: RNAcentral